This 117-nucleotide ribosomal RNA is filed under the name Pteropus alecto (black flying fox). RNAcentral also lists the same sequence under 1 other name. Lineage: Eukaryota; Metazoa; Chordata; Mammalia; Chiroptera; Pteropodidae. The record is from RNAcentral.
GUCUAUGGCCAUGCCACCCCGAACAAGCUUGAUGUGUGAUCUCAGAAGCUAAGCAGGGUCAGGCCUGGUUAGUACUUGGAAUGGGAAACUACCUAGGAAGACCAGGUGCUGUAGGCA